UAGGGAAUCUUCGGCAAUGGGGGGAACCCUGACCGAGCAACGCCGCGUGAGUGAAGAAGGUUUUCGGAUCGUAAAGCUCUUUUGUUAAGGAAGAACGAGUGUGAGAAUGGAAAGUUCAUACUGUGACGGUACUUAACCAGAAAGGGACGGCUAACUACGUGCCAGCAGCCGCGGUAAUACGUAGGUCCCGAGCGUUGUCCGGAUUUAUUGGGCGUAAAGCGAGCGCAGGCGGUCAAUUAAGUCUGAUGUGAAAGCCCCCGGCUCAACCGGGGAAGGUCAUUGGAAACUGGUUGACUUGAGUGCAGAAGAGGGGAGUAGAAUUCCAUGUGUAGCGGUGAAAUGCGUAGAUAUAUGGAGGAACACCAGUGGCGAAGGCGACUCUCUGGUCUGUAACUGACGCUGAGGCUCGAAAGCGUGGGGAGCGAACAGG
This 430-nucleotide ribosomal RNA is filed under the name Bacteroidota bacterium. Its description in RNAcentral is "Bacteroidetes bacterium partial 16S ribosomal RNA". It matches the Rfam family "Bacterial small subunit ribosomal RNA", at positions 355 to 776 of the family's 1533-position model. Lineage: Bacteria; Pseudomonadati; Bacteroidota. The record is from RNAcentral.